RNAcentral lists this small RNA (201 nucleotides) under Crocodylus porosus (Australian saltwater crocodile). RNAcentral describes it as "TUC338 (ENSCPRG00005004365.1)". The record is from RNAcentral. Lineage: Eukaryota; Metazoa; Chordata; Crocodylia; Crocodylidae.
UUGACAGCCUUUGCAACUGAAGUCCUCUAUUUAUCCUCAUAACAGGUACUGUACAAGCAGCAGCUGUAAACAAUUUAUUAUAUUUUUCUACUCAUUUAUUAUAUAUUUAUUCACUAUCCAGCAAAGAAACAUACCUUAGUAAUGACCUGGAAGGACCACCUCUAGGGUAAGAGUUUUGUUGUUACACUAUCAAAGGAAGCU